UCUCUGCCGUAUGAAGAAAGCACAUGGGAGCUAGAGGAAGAUGUGGAUCCUGCAAAAGUGAAAGAAUUUGAAUCUCUACAAAUUCUCCCUGAAGUUAAGCCUGAACGACCUGCCUCUGAUGCAUGGCAGAAACUGGAGACCUCUCGUGAGUAUAAGAACAGUAACCGGCUGCGGGAGUACCAGCUCGAGGGCAUGAACUGGCUGCUUUUCAACUGGUACAACAGGUGAGGUUCCUGAGCCAGCUGGUGCUCUCACACUGCAGCUGUCUUUUUGCCUUGACCUGAGAUACGCUGAAGCUUAGAAGAGUAGUGGAGCCCAGUAUCACUGCCCAGUUUGGAAUCGUUCCCAAACAACAAAAAG
This 360-nucleotide long non-coding RNA is filed under the name Rattus norvegicus (Norway rat). RNAcentral describes it as "long non-coding RNA NONRATT019904". Lineage: Eukaryota; Metazoa; Chordata; Mammalia; Rodentia; Muridae. The record is from RNAcentral.